This is a small RNA of 78 nucleotides. It matches the Rfam family "isrK Hfq binding RNA". The record is from Rfam.
GCUGCCGCAAAAUCGGUAGCCGGGAUUUGCAGCCCGUGUAACUCAAUGGCGACACAACACGCGCCAUGCGUGUUUUUU